RNAcentral lists this long non-coding RNA (767 nucleotides) under Felis catus (domestic cat). Its description in RNAcentral is "lncRNA (ENSFCAG00000049051.1)". Lineage: Eukaryota; Metazoa; Chordata; Mammalia; Carnivora; Felidae. The record is from RNAcentral.
CUGGAAAAUUAAUUUCUGAACUUGGCAAUUAGUGCACUGAAUUACAGCAGAGAUGCUUUAUUGUGGUUGCGUUGAUACCGUGAGAGCUAGGUGGGUAGCUACCAUGAGGACACUGUAUCUCUGUGCCUUCAAACCCCAAGGCUGAGUCAACUGAGGAUAGUGUCCCAGUCUUUGAACCCUUGCCCUAAAUGGAAUUUGUUUCUUCUGAAGUACUUUUAUUAACUCUUCAUUUACCUCUUUUUUCCAGAAUCCAGUAAGGCAAUUUCUUACUCCACAAACGCGGGUGGCCCUGAUAUAUGCACUGGCAAAACCUGUCUCUCGAGUUUUCCUGUUGGUUCCAGCAGGAUGUUGGGGAUCCCAGCUUUCAACCAAAUGCAGUACCCACAGACAUCCCCUGUGUCUUGUGGUUGUCACCCAGCAUUAAAGAAAACCCAGAAAUUAAUGGAAGGGCUGACUGUAAUGCAAAAUAGCUGAACCUGAGUCGUUAACAAAGGACAUCAGAGUCCAGGGGUCUGCAUGACCUGGUGGGACCGAUUACCUAGGAGCUCGCUUGCUCUGCUCAUGCCUGAGUGAGUCAUAUACCUUUGAAUUACUUGUGAUCAUUGGAUUUGCUGUGGUGUUUUUAGACUUGGAUGUCAUUAAAAAGUAGAGAGAGGCAGACCUAGAACUGGCUUGAUCAAAAAGUAACAAACAUCGAUAGAAUGAUUAUAUUAAAAACAAGAUAUUUUAAAUAAUUAUAUAGUAGCUUGCUUUUAUAUAGAGUAGAA